RNAcentral lists this unclassified non-coding RNA (300 nucleotides) under Lecanoromycetes sp. RNAcentral describes it as "partial contains small subunit ribosomal RNA and internal transcribed spacer 1". Lineage: Eukaryota; Fungi; Ascomycota; Lecanoromycetes. The record is from RNAcentral.
AAGUCGUAACAAGGUUUCCUUCACCUAUUGAAGCCUUCAGCAGCGACUGUAAAGAAAUGCGUAGUUUGCUUGCAAGCAAUGCCACUCAAAUGCUGAGACAUAUGAAUCAGCAGCCUUUUAGGCUCACAGAUCAAAUUGUGGUAACCAUUCUUAUGGGCAAGAUAUGACCGGUCUUAACUAGAGUUAGUUAAGAAUCCACGUUCCGUAGGUGAACCUGCGGAAGGAUCAUUAUUGAAUUAUAAGCAGAGGUUUGUUGCUGGCCCCUCGGGGAAUGUGCACGCCCGAGCUCUUAAUCCACUC